ACGCGAAAGAGGGGGCAAUCCUUCGAGUAGAGUGGCGAACGGGUGAGUAACGCGUGAGAAACCUGCCUUCAUCAGGGGGAUAACACUCCCAACGGGGUGCUAAUACCGCAUGAGACCACGGGAUCGCAUGGUCCUGAGGUCAAAGGUGGCCUCUAUUUAUAAGCUACCGGAUGGAGGUGGUCUCGCGUCCCAUUAGCUAGUUGGCGGGGUAAUGGCCCACCAAGGCGACGAUGGGUAGCUGGUCUGAGAGGAUGGUCAGCCACACUGGGACUGAGAUACGGCCCAGACUCCUACGGGAGGCAGCAGUCGAGAGGCUUCGGCAAUGGGGGCAACCCUGACCGAGCGACGCCGCGUGGGGGAUGAAGGCCCUUGGGUUGUAAACCCCUUUUGUUCGGGAAGAAGUGCGAUCAGGUUAAUAAUCUGGUCGUUUGACGGUACCGGACGAAUAAGCUCCGGCUAACUCCGUGCCAGCAGCCGCGGUAACACGGGGGGAGCAAGCGUUGUUCGGAAUCACUGGGCGUAAAGGGCGUGUAGGCGGUCAGGUAAGUGGGACGUGAAAUGCCUCGGCUA
RNAcentral lists this ribosomal RNA (570 nucleotides) under uncultured Latescibacterota bacterium. RNAcentral's name for it is "bacterial SSU rRNA". It matches the Rfam family "Bacterial small subunit ribosomal RNA", at positions 66 to 610 of the family's 1533-position model. The record is from RNAcentral. Lineage: Bacteria; Pseudomonadati; Candidatus Latescibacterota.